UAUGACUCUCUUAAGGUAGCCAA
This 23-nucleotide non-coding RNA is filed under the name Arabidopsis thaliana (thale cress). The record is from RNAcentral. RNAcentral also lists the same sequence under 3 other names. Lineage: Eukaryota; Viridiplantae; Streptophyta; Magnoliopsida; Brassicales; Brassicaceae.